RNAcentral lists this ribosomal RNA (243 nucleotides) under Triticum aestivum (bread wheat). RNAcentral's name for it is "partial small subunit ribosomal RNA". Lineage: Eukaryota; Viridiplantae; Streptophyta; Magnoliopsida; Poales; Poaceae. The record is from RNAcentral.
AUGUGUGUUCCAAAGAAGAAAGGUGGCAUGGGGUUUAGGGACCUUCACAGUUUUAACCUUGCUAUGUUAGCAAAACUGUGUUGGCGACUGCUCCAGAAUCCAAACUCUUUGUGUGCACGUGUUCUUAGUGCAAAAUAUUAUCCCAACGAAAACAUCUUGAAUGCGGGACCGAAGAAGGGCUCUUCUUACACUUCGCAGAGCAUUGUCUCGGGUAUCCAAACCUUUAAACGGGGUUGCAUAUAG